UUAAGCGACUAAGCGUACACGGUGGAUGCCCUGGCAGUCAGAGGCGAUGAAGGACGUGCUAAUCUGCGAUAAGCGUCGGUGAGGUGAUAUGAACCGUUAUAACCGGCGAUUUCCGAAUGGGGAAACCCAGUGUGUUUCGAUACACUAUCAUUAACUGAAUCCAUAGGUUAAUGAGGCGAACCGGGGGAACUGAAACAUCUAAGUACCCCGAGGAAAAGAAAUCAACCGAGAUUCCCCCAGUAGCGGCGAGCGAACGGGGAGGAGCCCAGAGCCUGAAUCAGUGUGUGUGUUAGUGGAAGCGUCUGGAAAGGCGCGCGAUACAGGGUGACAGCCCCGUACACAAAAAUGCACAUAUUGUGAGCUCGAUGAGUAGGGCGGGACACGUGGUAUCCUGUCUGAAUAUGGGGGGACCAUCCUCCAAGGCUAAAUACUCCUGACUGACCGAUAGUGAACCAGUACCGUGAGGGAAAGGCGAAAAGAACCCCGGCGAGGGGAGUGAAAAAGAACCUGAAACCGUGUACGUACAAGCAGUGGGAGCCUCUUAAUGGGGUGACUGCGUACCUUUUGUAUAAUGGGUCAGCGACUUAUAUUCUGUAGCAAGGUUAACCGAAUAGGGGAGCCGAAGGGAAACCGAGUCUUAACUGGGCGUUAAGUUGCAGGGUAUAGACCCGAAACCCGGUGAUCUAGCCAUGGGCAGGUUGAAGGUUGGGUAACACUAACUGGAGGACCGAACCGACUAAUGUUGAAAAAUUAGCGGAUGACUUGUGGCUGGGGGGGAAAGGCCAAUCAAACCGGGAGAUAGCUGGUUCUCCCCGAAAGCUAUUUAGGUAGCGCCUCGUGAAUUCAUCUCCGGGGGUAGAGCACUGUUUCGGCAAGGGGGUCAUCCCGACUUACCAACCCGAUGCAAACUGCGAAUACCGGAGAAUGUUAUCACGGGAGACACACGGCGGGUGCUAACGUCCGUCGUGAAGAGGGAAACAACCCAGACCGCCAGCUAAGGUCCCAAAGUCAUGGUUAAGUGGGAAACGAUGUGGGAAGGCCCAGACAGCCAGGAUGUUGGCUUAGAAGCAGCCAUCAUUUAAAGAAAGCGUAAUAGCUCACUGGUCGAGUCGGCCUGCGCGGAAGAUGUAACGGGGCUAAACCAUGCACCGAAGCUGCGGCAGCGACGCUUAUGCGUUGUUGGGUAGGGGAGCGUUCUGUAAGCCUGUGAAGGUGGCCUGUGAGGGUUGCUGGAGGUAUCAGAAGUGCGAAUGCUGACAUAAGUAACGAUAAAGCGGGUGAAAAGCCCGCUCGCCGGAAGACCAAGGGUUCCUGUCCAACGUUAAUCGGGGCAGGGUGAGUCGACCCCUAAGGCGAGGCCGAAAGGCGUAGUCGAUGGGAAACAGGUUAAUAUUCCUGUACUUGGUGUUACUGCGAAGGGGGGACGGAGAAGGCUAUGUUGGCCGGGCGACGGUUGUCCCGGUUUAAGCGUGUAGGCUGGUUUUCCAGGCAAAUCCGGAAAACCAAGGCUGAGGCGUGAUGACGAGGCACUACGGUGCUGAAGCGACAAAUGCCCUGCUUCCAGGAAAAGCCUCUAAGCAUCAGGUAACAUCAAAUCGUACCCCAAACCGACACAGGUGGUCAGGUAGAGAAUACCAAGGCGCUUGAGAGAACUCGGGUGAAGGAACUAGGCAAAAUGGUGCCGUAACUUCGGGAGAAGGCACGCUGAUAUGUAGGUGAAGCGACUUGCUCGUGGAGCUGAAAUCAGUCGAAGAUACCAGCUGGCUGCAACUGUUUAUUAAAAACACAGCACUGUGCAAACACGAAAGUGGACGUAUACGGUGUGACGCCUGCCCGGUGCCGGAAGGUUAAUUGAUGGGGUUAGCGGUAACGCGAAGCUCUUGAUCGAAGCCCCGGUAAACGGCGGCCGUAACUAUAACGGUCCUAAGGUAGCGAAAUUCCUUGUCGGGUAAGUUCCGACCUGCACGAAUGGCGUAAUGAUGGCCAGGCUGUCUCCACCCGAGACUCAGUGAAAUUGAACUCGCUGUGAAGAUGCAGUGUACCAGCGGCAAGACGGAAAGACCCCGUGAACCUUUACUAUAGCUUGACACUGAACAUUGAGCCUUGAUGUGUAGGAUAGGUGGGAGGCUUUGAAGUGUGGACGCCAGUCUGCAUGGAGCCGACCUUGAAAUACCACCCUUUAAUGUUUGAUGUUCUAACGUUGGCCCGUAAUCCGGGUUGCGGACAGUGUCUGGUGGGUAGUUUGACUGGGGCGGUCUCCUCCUAAAGAGUAACGGAGGAGCACGAAGGUUGGCUAAUCCUGGUCGGACAUCAGGAGGUUAGUGCAAUGGCAUAAGCCAGCUUGACUGCGAGCGUGACGGCGCGAGCAGGUGCGAAAGCAGGUCAUAGUGAUCCGGUGGUUCUGAAUGGAAGGGCCAUCGCUCAACGGAUAAAAGGUACUCCGGGGAUAACAGGCUGAUACCGCCCAAGAGUUCAUAUCGACGGCGGUGUUUGGCACCUCGAUGUCGGCUCAUCACAUCCUGGGGCUGAAGUAGGUCCCAAGGGUAUGGCUGUUCGCCAUUUAAAGUGGUACGCGAGCUGGGUUUAGAACGUCGUGAGACAGUUCGGUCCCUAUCUGCCGUGGGCGCUGGAGAACUGAGGGGGGCUGCUCCUAGUACGAGAGGACCGGAGUGGACGCAUCACUGGUGUUCGGGUUGUCAUGCCAAUGGCACUGCCCGGUAGCUAAAUGCGGAAGAGAUAAGUGCUGAAAGCAUCUAAGCACGAAACUUGCCCCGAGAUGAGUUCUCCCUGAGACUUAGAGUCUCCUGAAGGAACGUUGAAGACGACGACGUUGAUAGGCCGGGUGUGUAAGCGCAGCGAUGCGUUGAGCUAACCGGUACUAAUGAACCGUGAGGCUUAACCUU
This 2903-nucleotide ribosomal RNA is filed under the name Escherichia coli KTE182. RNAcentral describes it as "bacterial LSU rRNA". It matches the Rfam family "Bacterial large subunit ribosomal RNA". The record is from RNAcentral. Lineage: Bacteria; Pseudomonadati; Pseudomonadota; Gammaproteobacteria; Enterobacterales; Enterobacteriaceae.